CAGUAGCCACGGGAAUACGUAGGGGGCCAGCGUUGUCCGAAGUUACUGGGCGUAAAGAGCGCGUAGGCGGGUCUUUAAGUGAGGGGUGAAAGGUUCGGGCUCAACCCGGACACUGCCUUUCAUACUGGGGACCUUGAGUGUGGGAGAGGCUAGUGGAAUUCUUGGUGUAGCGGUGAAAUGCGUAGAUAUCAAGAGGAACACCCAUGGCGAAGGCAGCUCGCUGGCCUAUAACUGACGCUGAGGCGCAAAAGCUGGGGGAGCAAACAGGAUUAGAUACCCCCGUAGUCCCUGUCUCUUAUAC
Molecule: ribosomal RNA, 301 nt
Filed under: uncultured bacterium
Lineage: Bacteria
Description: partial 16S ribosomal RNA
Rfam family: Bacterial small subunit ribosomal RNA
Source: RNAcentral